GUCAAGAUGCCGAGCAGGCUGAUCUGUCGAAGGACUCGGAUGGAUGGCUGAACAUAUCGAAAGGGUUCGGCCUUUGGUAUGUUCAGCCGAAGAUCACAAUGUACCUUCAAGGAAGACGUGCAGUGCUCAUCUGGCUCGGGUGGCGAUCGCUGCAACCUGGGUUGCUCUUGAGGUAAUGUCGAGGGAGGAGGCCAUGCUGAGACACUCACAUUGAUGCCAGAUCAAAUCUAAAAUAGCACAAAGACAAAGAAGUCCUUAGUGGAGAGUGUCCGGUGGAAGAUCCUUUGAUGCCCAUGUCAGACAAACUCUCAAGAAAUAGC
RNAcentral lists this long non-coding RNA (320 nucleotides) under Elaeis guineensis (African oil palm). RNAcentral's name for it is "long non-coding RNA (EGUI_LNC022942)". Lineage: Eukaryota; Viridiplantae; Streptophyta; Magnoliopsida; Arecales; Arecaceae. The record is from RNAcentral.